RNAcentral lists this ribosomal RNA (301 nucleotides) under uncultured bacterium. RNAcentral describes it as "partial 16S ribosomal RNA". It matches the Rfam family "Bacterial small subunit ribosomal RNA", at positions 509 to 807 of the family's 1533-position model. The record is from RNAcentral.
CAGCAGCCGCGGUAAUACGGAGGGUGCAAGCGUUAAUCGGAAUUACUGGGCGUAAAGCGCACGCAGGCGGUCUGACAAGUCAGAUGUGAAAUCCCCGGGCUUAACCUGGGAACUGCAUUUGAAACUGUCAGGCUGGAGUCUUGUAGAGGGGGGUGGAAUUCCAGGUGUAGCGGUGAAAUGCGUAGAGAUCUGGAGGAAUACCGGUGGCGAAGGCGGCCCCCUGGACAAAGACUGACGCUCAGGUGCGAAAGCGUGGGGAGCAAACAGGAUUAGAUACCCGAGUAGUCCCUGUCUCUUAUAC